This 89-nucleotide microRNA precursor is filed under the name Mesocricetus auratus (golden hamster). RNAcentral's name for it is "miRNA (ENSMAUG00000005479.1)". The record is from RNAcentral. Lineage: Eukaryota; Metazoa; Chordata; Mammalia; Rodentia; Cricetidae.
AAGCAGGAAAGGGAGAAAGCAGGUCAGGCCUGAGCUCCAGCAGCCAGCCCCUGAGGCCUCCUGGACUGGAGACAACCUGGGCAGCACUU